Long non-coding RNA from Oncorhynchus masou masou (cherry salmon), 1727 nucleotides. RefSeq lists it as uncharacterized. The record is from RefSeq and is a predicted model, not a curated record. Lineage: Eukaryota; Metazoa; Chordata; Actinopteri; Salmoniformes; Salmonidae. The transcript has 5 exons.
AUACCCAGCAGUCAAAUAGGGAAAUGGUUCCAAUCGUUAUUCCAUUUGGGAAUUUAAGAAACACUUAACAUAUGGUCUGUGUUUCGUGUAGACCUACCCUGGUGUGACCUUUUGAUAACCGUGUAAAUCUCUCUAGGACAAGGUGACUUUUAUCAAUAUAUUUACCUGCAAAAAAUUAAAUGUUAAUUAGCUGCUAAUGGGGCUAUCAUAAAGAACUGCAAAUACCAUGUGAUCUGGACAAGACUGCCAAAUCGAGGCAAUGACAUAUCAAAAGAUCUGAAUACAACCAGCUCUUGUGACUCUCAUUGACGCCACCUCUCUCCUCGUGACUUCAAACGGAACCCCCGGUAGGAGCACACACCUGGAAAAAAGAGAAAUAACACCCUGUCUGUGUGUAGUUUCACCACCAGAGGGAGCUAUUUGUCCAGGUUUUCUGUCCACUGAUCUCUUUCAGUGAGUGGAAUGUGACGUUGAUUUGCAGUGAGAGACUUAUGCUUAUGCCUGCCCAUACCAUAAUCCCACUGCCACUAUGGGGCGCUCUGUUCACAAUGUUGACAUCAGCAAAUCUCUCGCCCACAUGACGCCCUACAUGCUGUCUGCCAUCUGCCCGGUACAGUUGAAACCGGGAUUCAUCCGUGAAGAGCACACUUCUCCAGCAUGCCAGUGGCCAUCGAAGGUGAGCAUUUGCCCACUGAAGUUGGUUAUGACGACAAACUGCAGUCAGGACAAUGACAAGAACAAUCUUGGUUUGGGGCGAACGGGUGCAGAGACACAACCCCUCACCUCCUCUCCUCUCUGACUCCUCUCUCCAUUUCUGUCCCCUUUGGAUCAACCAGAUCGGGCCUGGUGUUAAUCCCUGGCAUAAGGGGGCUUGGCUGGAUUAGAAGCUGAUGUGGUAACAUCUGUAUGGCGGCUAGAUUAGCAGGGAGAGGGCCUGGGGGGAGCAGGGGUGUGUCUGUGUGGAUGUCGGGGCUAUGAUGUGACAGGAAGGGGGGGCUUGAGCCCAAGAUAUCCUGGAUUUCCUAGGAUGUCAAUUAUAUUGGGGAUGUCUAUAUGGUCAGGAAUUACAGCUUGGAUCUAUUUCUGUAUUCAUUCAACAACCUGCUUGGCAGUUCACAUGGUCAAAGUGUGUGUGUGUGUGUGUGUGUGUGUGUGUGUGUGUGUGUGUGUGUGUGUGUGUGUGUGUGUGUGUGUGUGUGUGUGUGUGUGUGUGUGUGUGUGUGUGUGUGUGUGUGUAAUAGUGUAUGAGUGUAUGAAUGUUCUUGCAUUUGUGUGUGUCUGUGUAGAUAGGGGGUGGGGAGCAGCUGGAUAUCUUUGACAUUUGACCCUGUUGAGCUUGACAUGUCAAUAUUUGUUAUAAUACUUUCAGUAUUUUAAUGCAAUAAUCAAUACAUAUAUUUAUGCAUAUUUAAAAUGGGGUGCAAUGUAUUGUAUUUUGCAGGUUUGGUUUUUGUAUGAAAAUAGUAAUGAAAGUGGCAUGAAAGUGACACUGUAAAUGACUGCCCUUGCAUGCUACAUUUUUUUAUUCAUAAAUCUUUAUUUGAGCUCUUAAAUAAUCAUAGUUUUACUAUAUUGAAUCUGAAGAAAAACAAAAUGACGCAAAACAUAUUUAUAAGCUAUGAUGGAGUCUUUGUUUAUUAAGAGAAAGAUCUCUGUACAGUCUAUAGGUUGUUAUUGAGGUGUACAUUCAGAAUGUUAUUGUUAAUUAUUAAAAAAAAAAUGUUUUA